Molecule: long non-coding RNA, 2355 nt
Organism: Ziziphus jujuba (common jujube)
Lineage: Eukaryota; Viridiplantae; Streptophyta; Magnoliopsida; Rosales; Rhamnaceae
Exons: 4
Source: RefSeq, a predicted model, not a curated record
GUGGUUUGUUCCUUAAAAACAAAAAAAAGGAAAAGCCCUAUUCGCCUGAUCUACAGAGAGGCUCUUUUCUUCUUCGCCACUGCCUUUCUCUUAGAUCUUUCCUUCGUCGUCUGUCUUCCUCAAUUUCUUUAUACAUAUUUGGUCUCAUCGUUCAGAGAUCUUUGUUUCGAUUAUGAUUUCUAGGUGUUAUUCAUCGUAUGCAGAUUCGAUGUUGGACACAGAUCUCUGGUUUGUAUGCGUUGCUGUAUCAUCGUCAUCCUUUCGUUUUCGAUACGGAUCUGCAGGGCUGUGGUUGGGACGAGGAUGAUUUGUGAUUCAAUCUCACGGGGAUGUAUGGAGUUUAUGUGUGACGCGGCUGCUCCAUGGGGUCUGGAUUGCAGUGUUCGUGGUUUGUUUCUUCCUUGGUGCUCGGGUCGGGUUGUGGUGUUUGGUUCGCGGCGGCUUAGGACGUCUCUCCAUAUGUGAUCGCUAGCUAUAGGGGGUUUGGUGGAGUGAUUUAUGUUGCUGUUUUUGUGUUCAAUCAUAUUGUUACAGAUAGAUAACCACGAAGGUAGAGUGACCGAGUGAACGAGGAAAUUGAGAGCUUCUAUAUGCAGAGGUAUAUAUGUUGUUUCAUGUAAUGUUUGUUGUCGCCGACCUUUGCCAUGUCAGGUGCGCUUGCAUGGCAGGUCAAAAAAACCCUAAUAAAAGAAAAUAUUUUGUUGGGUUUUGGGGGGAGAUGGUACGGGGUUUCUUUUUUUUUUGGGGCCCGGCUCUCCCCCCUUGUGUGUGUGUGUGUGUUCUCUCUCUCUCUCUCUCUCUCUCUCUAUCCUUUUCGGACUUCUUAACGCUACUCGGAUCUGAAUUUGCAAAACGCUACUCGGAUGACCACGAUAAAGGUAAAUAUUUACUUGCUUAAUUUGGUUAGUCAGCAAUCAACUGGUGAUUGAUCUUCAACUGAAAGGUACUUGCACUUCUAUUCAAUUUUAUGACAACUUAUUUCAUUGCACAAUUUUAUAGUGAAGAAUAUCAACUAAUUUUUUAAUGCCUGAGGAAUAAAGGCUAAUUGCCAUGUUAAUUUAUAAUUGUUAAGUCUUAAUACGACUUAUAUUAUACAAAGUUAUUGUUAUGAAAGAAAUCAUUUCCUAUAUCUCUGCAUGGAUUUUAUUGAUCUCCUUAAAAUAUUGAGUGAAGUCCUAAAGGACCAUGAAAUAAGUAUAUUGUCCUAGUAUUUGACAUUGGAAGACUAUGAAUAAAGAGUUGAGACAUUUCUAGGACUUAAAUCAGAAGUUUCUACAUGGUAUUAUCCAAAUGGCAAUACCGCCUACACAUGCUUAUCCUUCAUAUGGGACAAUUUUUUCAGUUCAAAGGUUCUCAAUUAUAGGGCUUUUAAUUCUCAUAGUAGUAAUAUUCUUUUGAAGCUGCAAAUAACUAAAGCAACUCCAAUGGCUUAUAUUGCUCUAUUCUUAUUUCUGUGCAUAUGGUAAAUUUUUGUGGGUUCAUAGUAUGGGAUUCCCAUUAGUUAUUGCCAAUUUUUGUGAGCUUGGAGAUGGUGCAAUUUUUCUUGGAUCAUCUCAUGGUCGCAGUAUGCCUUGUAUGUAAAUGUAUCAAGUUUUGUAGUUUCAAUUAUGAUGGAAGAUUUUUAAGUUCCAUUGAUGAUGGGAUGGUGGGUUCUGUGGGUUUUAGUCUUUAUGGAAUGUACAUUUGUAUGGUUUAUCCCAAGCAACAGUGAUCUGAAGCGUCAAGAUUCUAUGCCCUGAGAAAGUGCUGCAGUGAAAUUAGUCUUUACAUUUAGAAGUAUUUUCUGAAGUCUGCUCCUGCCUGCUUGAGAUAGAAGGGAAUGCAGCUCACUUUUUUUUGAGAAGAGGAUAAAAUAGAAGCCAAGUUUUUGACACUGCAGUGACAUAAGACUUCUUGCUUGAAGGGGUACAAUUGCUUUUGGUGAAUUCAUAUAGUUUCCUUAUGUUGUCAGCUGCUGGUUUAUGUGCAUAUUGUUCUAUGAUGUAACCUUUUUCUUGUGGACACAGUUUAAAGAUACAACCACGAUUGCUUCUCUCAGCUGAAGUUCAAAUUGGAUGUUGUGCUGAUAGUUUGGGAUAAUAUAACUUGCUUUCUUAACAACUUGGUACAUGGGAGUCUAAUUGCAACUCUUAACAUUUUAUCUUGAUUGAGAGCAUUUUCACUGUCAAUGCUCUACUCGUGCCUUCUUUUAUUCACUCUGGAAGAAUGUCAGUUGCAGUGCACAGACGAAUGAAUAUAUGCUUUGUUUAAAUCCUCCUGAUAGAACAUUUGUUAUUUUAGUCGACAGAAACAAAGAGUAGUUUUCAGUUUGUUGGUUGAAUUAUGUUUAUGUGAUCGUUGUUCUUUUUUGUGUCA